RNAcentral lists this ribosomal RNA (450 nucleotides) under uncultured bacterium. RNAcentral describes it as "partial 16S ribosomal RNA". It matches the Rfam family "Bacterial small subunit ribosomal RNA", at positions 354 to 796 of the family's 1533-position model. The record is from RNAcentral.
GUGGGGAAUAUUGGACAAUGGGCGAAAGCCUGAUCCAGCCAUGCCGCGUGUGUGAAGAAGGUCUUCGGAUUGUAAAGCACUUUAAGUUGGGAGGAAGGGCAGUAAGUUAAUACCUUGCUGUUUUGACGUUACCGACAGAAUAAGCACCGGCUAACUUCGUGCCAGCAGCCGCGGUAAUACGAAGGGUGCAAGCGUUAAUCGGAAUUACUGGGCGUAAAGCGCGCGUAGGUGGUUUUGUAAGUUGGAGGUGAAAGCCACGGGCUCAACCUGGGAACUGCGUACAAAACUGCAUGACUAGAGUACGGUAGAGGGUAGUGGAAUUUCCUGUGUAGCGGUGAAAUGCGUAGAUAUAGGAAGGAACACCAGUGGCGAAGGCGACUACCUGGACUGAUACUGACACUGAGGUGCGAAAGCGUGGGGAGCAAACAGGAUUAGAAACCCUUGUAGUCC